GACGAACGCUGGCGGCGUGCUUAACACAUGCAAGUCGAACGGAAAGGCCCCUUUGGGGGUACUCGAGUGGCGAACGGGUGAGUAACACGUGAGUAACCUGCCCUUGACUUCGGGAUAACUUCAGGAAACUGGGGCUAAAACCGGAUAGGAAUCCUUGCUGCAUGGUGGGGGUUGGAAAGCUUCGGCGGUUUUGGAUGGACUCGCGGCUUAUCAGCUUGUUGGUGGGGUAGUGGCUUACCAAGGCUUUGACGGGUAGCCGGCCUGAGAGGGCGACCGGCCACAUUGGGACUGAGAUACGGCCCAGACUCCUACGGGAGGCAGCAGUGGGGAAUAUUGCACAAUGGGCGGAAGCCUGAUGCAGCAACGCCGCGUGCGGGAUGACGGCCUUCGGGUUGUAAACCGCUUUCAGCAGGGGCGAAGCUUUUGUGACGGUACCUGCAGAAGAAGCACCGGCUAACUACGUG
This 464-nucleotide ribosomal RNA is filed under the name uncultured bacterium. RNAcentral's name for it is "partial 16S ribosomal RNA". It matches the Rfam family "Bacterial small subunit ribosomal RNA", at positions 28 to 507 of the family's 1533-position model. The record is from RNAcentral.